RNAcentral lists this non-coding RNA (253 nucleotides) under Anaerobutyricum hallii. RNAcentral describes it as "Eubacterium hallii T-box sequence". It matches the Rfam family "T-box leader". Rfam says of the family: Uncharged tRNA acts as the effector for transcription antitermination of genes in the T-box leader family. T-boxes are found upstream of many aminoacyl-tRNA synthetase genes and some amino acid biosynthetic genes usually in Gram-positive bacteria. The record is from RNAcentral. Lineage: Bacteria; Bacillati; Bacillota; Clostridia; Lachnospirales; Lachnospiraceae.
GUAAAGGCGAUGACGAAGAGAAGUAGUGGGAAUUAUCGCUUCCAGAGAGUGGGGAUGGCUGAGAACCCUGCAGAAUGAAUUCCUGUGAAUAACACUUUACCAGCCGCAAUCUGAACGAAAUCUGUCAAUACGGACACAGGCAGAUUCCUUAGUAGGUGCGCCGUGACUGUGCGUUAGACAGAAGUUGGUUUUGAGUGACUGCUUUUCAUAAGGCAGUAAUUCAGGUGGUACCGCGGAAUAAUCCGUCCUGAAC